Molecule: long non-coding RNA, 290 nt
Filed under: Jatropha curcas
Lineage: Eukaryota; Viridiplantae; Streptophyta; Magnoliopsida; Malpighiales; Euphorbiaceae
Description: long non-coding RNA (JCUR_LNC002585)
Source: RNAcentral
ACUAAUUCAAUAGAAAGAGGGGAAAUCUUCAUUCUAUUAUUAGACGUUACAGUUCCGGGUCACGAUCUGAUUGAACCGGUUUUUCUUUUUCCAUUGAUCUGACGGAUGAUGAAUCCCCUUUUUUCUGAAAGAGGAAGGGAAUGGAUUGGAUUCAGCCUAAAUUCAUUCUUUUACAUUGAUGGGGAAACAAGGAUUUCGAGAGUCCCUGGCGCAGACUAGAGGGCUGAUACGUACUGUUGACGAUUAAGCAAACCUCUCCUUUUCAGUCGAGAUCUUCAAACCUCUCCCGC